This is a long non-coding RNA of Carassius gibelio (silver crucian carp), 1267 nucleotides long. RefSeq lists it as uncharacterized. Lineage: Eukaryota; Metazoa; Chordata; Actinopteri; Cypriniformes; Cyprinidae. The record is from RefSeq and is a predicted model, not a curated record. The transcript has 2 exons.
AUGACGUGUUUGUAAAUGAAGAUCAGCGCAGACAAAGGCUGCAGACAGCACAUCUUGUUUGUUAUCUUUAGAAGUGCACAAAGUUUUGUUGUUAUUAUGUCUGUAUCCAAAAAAAGGAAACCCUUUACUGGGUUACAGUCCGCUUGCUGACUGAGCUGGGAUGUUUGCAAGAAGGUCAGGCAGCAGUGUUGCACACAAACUGAGCAGGAGUUGGUCUGUUCUUGUAGUCGUGGCCGUACCUUCCGGCGAUCGGACUGCUGAACACUUCCUAACACUUCCUAACACAUUUUGAAUAAGUCCUAACACUUCCGAACUAAUUCCUAACACAAGUACGAACAUCACGUGGUCUAUGUCCUAACAACUCCUAACCAUCUCCUAACAGGUCCGAACGGGGCAAAACAGCCAUUGGUCGAGCGGAGCAAUACAGCCAUUGGCCGAAACAUAGUCACGUGCGAAACCACAUGAUUACAGUCAAAAAAGCGGAAGCGCGCGAAUGAUUAGUUUAUUAAUUUUAAGGCGAAUUCAUUAUUAUUUAAACACGGAGCACGGAGCAUAUUUUUAUUCAGUUUGAUGUUUUCAGAUAACGUGGAGAUCUUCAACAGAUCACUGGAACUGUCCAUAGUCCCUGGCUGCUUCAAAUGCUCCACCAUCAUCCCUGGCCCAAAGAAACCCAAGAUAACAGGACAUAAUGACUGCAGACCCUUGCUGGAUCCACUGCUCUUCUCCCUCUACACUAGGGAUGCACUAUAAAUCACAUGUGAUUUUCAUGCACAUCUCGUCAGUAAAGCCGGUGUUGUUGAUUAGUAGUAAAUCUCCAUCAUGUGCUUUCAGAUGGAGCAGCAUUUACUACACAGAGCCGUAGUUCACUGACAAGCUAUACAAUAUCACAUUCAUAAUCGCAGACAAUUUGUCUGAACAUCAACAGAACCGGCUCUACUGAUGAGAUGCGCAUAACAAUCACAUGCGAGUUAUCGUGCUGCCCUACUCUACACCAAUGACUGCACCUCUACAGACCUGAGGUCUUCGGACUGUCGAGAGGAUUACUGGUGCUUCCCUACCCACCUUUCAAGAACGGUACACAUCCAGAGUGAGGAAAAGUGCUUAGGAAAUCACUCUGGAUCCUUUUUGAACUUUUGACAUCCGGUCGGCGAUACAGUGCAUGGAAUACGAGAGAAACAAGAAGUUUCUUUUCCCAGAAAAUCUGCCUAAGAAAAUCUGCCUAAUGAACAGUUAAAAGUCCCCCCCCCCCCCCAUCGUGCAAUAAAAA